CCGAGUUUACACUCCCAAACCCCUGUGAAUUACCUAUACGUUGCCUCGGCGGAUCAGCCCGCGCCCCGUAAAACGGGACGGCCCGCCCGAGGACCCUAAACUCUGUUUUUAGUGGAACUUCUGAGUAAAACAAACAAAUAAAUCAAAACUUUCAACAACGGAUCUCUUGGUUCUGGCAUCGAUGAAGAACGCAGCAAAAUGCGAUAAGUAAUGUGAAUUGCAGAAUUCAGUGAAUCAUCGAAUCUUUGAACGCACAUUGCGCCCGCCAGUAUUCUGGCGGGCAUGCCUGUUCGAGCGUCAUUUCAACCCUCAAGCUCAGCUUGGUGUUGGGACUCGCGGUAACCCGCGUUCCCCAAAUCGAUUGGCGGUCACGUCGAGCUUCCAUAGCGUAGUAAUCAUACACCUCGUUACUGGUAAUCGUCGCGGCCACGCCGUAAAACCCCAACUUCUGAAUGUUGACCUCGGAUCAGGUAGGAAUACCCGCUG
Molecule: ribosomal RNA, 486 nt
Filed under: Fusarium chlamydosporum
Lineage: Eukaryota; Fungi; Ascomycota; Sordariomycetes; Hypocreales; Nectriaceae
Description: eukaryotic LSU rRNA
Rfam family: 5.8S ribosomal RNA (bases 147-300)
Source: RNAcentral